AUGUACCCCCCUACACUCCGGUUCCUCCGCACCCACCUGACAGCUGCUCGCGACGUUUUGUUAGCC
RNAcentral lists this small RNA (66 nucleotides) under Xanthomonas campestris pv. raphani. RNAcentral describes it as "sX9 sRNA". It matches the Rfam family "Xanthomonas sRNA sX9". The record is from RNAcentral. Lineage: Bacteria; Pseudomonadati; Pseudomonadota; Gammaproteobacteria; Lysobacterales; Lysobacteraceae.